Molecule: ribosomal RNA, 253 nt
Filed under: uncultured bacterium
Lineage: Bacteria
Description: partial 16S ribosomal RNA
Rfam family: Bacterial small subunit ribosomal RNA
Source: RNAcentral
GACGUAGGGGGCCAGCGUUGUUCGGAAUUACUGGGCGUAAAGGGUUCGUAGGCGGUGUGGCAAGUCGGGUGUGAAAUCUCUGGGCUCAACCCAGAGACUGCUUCCGAAGCUGCUGUGCUUGAGUGUGAGAGAGGCUCGUGGAAUUGCAGGUGUAGCGGUGAAAUGCGUAGAUAUCUGGAGGAACACCCGUGGCGAAAGCGGCGAGCUGGAUCACUACUGACGCUGAGGAACGAAAGCUAGGGGAGCAAACAGG